RNAcentral lists this long non-coding RNA (454 nucleotides) under Homo sapiens (human). RNAcentral describes it as "non-protein coding lnc-ADAMTS15-1:8". Lineage: Eukaryota; Metazoa; Chordata; Mammalia; Primates; Hominidae. The record is from RNAcentral.
UGGGGGCACUUUGUUUGUGUCCCACAAUGCUCUGCGCCGGCGGCCUGGCUGGGGAAGGGGAGGAGAAGGGGGCGGGGCGGAGCGCGCUCGGGGGCGGGGCUCGGGGCGGGGAAGGAAACGUGAUGAUUGCGCAAGCGCAGAAAAUGGGCCCUCUUGGCCGUCGGGACUUGUACUGUUGGUGACUCCGUCUCCUUAGACGGUGGAGCCUGCGUGACCCAGAAAGGCCAAAGGGCACACUAGCCAGCUGUUUUGCCACGAGAGUACACCGAACAAAGGAGACAGGGUUAUUUAUAACCUGACACGUCUACCCUACUGCUGUGUGUGGUUUCCAUUGCCUGGAAUAGGACCUGAAAUUCUGUAUUUGUCCCAACUGGCUAGCAACUUAGAACUUUCUAAAAGAGACAAAAGCAGAGGAGAACAAAGGAAGGAGGCAGUAACUUGUGGAAUGCUGAGA